RNAcentral lists this ribosomal RNA (216 nucleotides) under Glomeromycotina sp. RNAcentral's name for it is "partial small subunit ribosomal RNA". The stretch from base 40 to 216 matches the Rfam family "Eukaryotic small subunit ribosomal RNA", at positions 686 to 864 of the family's 1831-position model. The record is from RNAcentral. Lineage: Eukaryota; Fungi; Glomeromycota.
GGGUCAGUAGGUUGGUCGUGCCACCGGUACGUACUGGUCUCACUGAUUCCUCCUUCCUGAAGAACCGUAAUGACAUUAAUUUGGUGUUGCGGGGAAACAGGACUGUUACUUUGAAAAAAUUAGAGUGUUUAAAGCAAGCUAACGCUUGAAUACAUUAGCAUGUAAUAAUGAAAUAGGACGAUCGAUCCUAUUUUGUUGGUUUCUAGGAUUGACGUA